Molecule: ribosomal RNA, 458 nt
Filed under: uncultured bacterium
Lineage: Bacteria
Description: bacterial SSU rRNA
Rfam family: Bacterial small subunit ribosomal RNA
Source: RNAcentral
AACGAACGCUGGCGGCAGGCCUAACACAUGCAAGUCGAGCGAACCCUUCGGGGUUAGCGGCGGACGGGUUAGUAACGCGUGGGAAUAUACCCUUUGGUACGGAAUAGCCUCGGGAAACUGAGAGUAAUACCGUAUGUGCCCUUCGGGGAAAGAUUUAUCGCCAAAGGAUUAGCCCGCGUUGGAUUAGAUAGUUGGUGGGGUAAUGGCCUACCAAGUCUACGAUCCAUAGCUGGUUUGAGAGGAUGAUCAGCAACACUGGGACUGAGACACGGCCCAGACUCCUACGGGAGGCAGCAGUGGGGAAUCUUAGACAAUGGGCGCAAGCCUGAUCUAGCCAUGCCGCGUGGACGAUGAAGGCCUUAGGGUUGUAAAGUCCUUUCAGAUGGGAAGAUAAUGACGGUACCAUCAGAAGAAGCCCCGGCUAACUCCGUGCCAGCAGCCGCGGUAAAGUCUGUACU